Molecule: long non-coding RNA, 2144 nt
Organism: Anastrepha obliqua
Lineage: Eukaryota; Metazoa; Arthropoda; Insecta; Diptera; Tephritidae
Exons: 9
Source: RefSeq, a predicted model, not a curated record
AAUACCAUCUUUAGCAAAAAGUUCCCAGAACAGCCGCCGGGUGAUGCUCUAAAUCAACUAAUUUGAGCUCUAGUUUUUGGUUAGGUUGUCACAUCUGUGAUUAACAUUCCUACCAAAAUUUCAUAUGAAUGCUUGAUUUUUGUGAAAGUUACGCCAUCUUGAGUGAUGAUACUUCAAAGAAAAUAGCCGUUUACGAGUGGCCUGAACACUUAAGAAUAGAUCGUGAACCCAUCGAAGAUGAGUAGCAGGCCGUCGACAACGAAAACUGAUGACAACAUCAAUAAAGUGAAGGAAAAGUUCAUCAAUCACCGAAAAUUAACCAUCACUGAGCUAGCAGAGGACUUCAGCACACCGUAAUUUUAUAUAUAUCACUCUUUCACAACUGAGCAAUAGGAACUCUCUGAACUUACCUGUUAUGGAGCAAAGCAGACGGAGUGUGGGUGUAUUGCCAGAAUAUUGAUUUAUCAUGCCCUGACUAUGUGCCUUCGGUGCGGGCAUACUCAGCGUGAUAGCCUUAUGGAAUUUACGACGCCGUGGCUCAACUGUUACAAUUGGCGAUACUGCCACACCACGGCCAAGUAGUUUAGCAGUUAGAUCUGGAUCGACUGGUUGUGCCUAGAAUGAGGUCUUUUGUUUUUUUCUUUGAUUUUCUUAAGCUCUUUAGUCAUUCCCUGCUUAUAUGCACAAAUGAUUGUUUCAACAUGAAAAUGGCCACUUACAACUAAAGUACAGAAAGUGCAGAAAGUAGAAAAGAAAAGCACGAAAAGCGUGUUGAAGCUACAAAGAGUUUUGGGCUAGCUGAUGAACAUUAUUUAUGUCUGUACGAAUGUCGCCUAUUACGAUUGCCCUCAUUGGAGUUGCAAGUAAGAAUUGGUGCAUUCAAUUUUGGCAUACAUUGCCAGAAAUGAAUCACUGCCUUUGGAGGAUCCACCUUUAACAAGUACAAACAUGCAAUUCGGACAUUUCGUAUUUCAUAAGCUGUAUGUGGUACCAUUUAUAUUGACCAGUAUUCUGGCAGACUGUGAGUACUGUCAACAGCAUGAAACUCACCAUAAGAAGUGGUUUCACCGUUAUCCGAACGCAAUAUGAUGAUUUCGCGCUCUUUGCCGCGCAAUGAUGCAAAAUGUGGUACUUCCAUGAUAACGGGGCCAAUAAAUUUCGUCGAAACUGGUCCCAGCUCCAACACACGGCUAGCCAGGGCUUCACCCUCCAUUAGUUGGGGUGGAUGCAUGGUGCGUUGUGGUUUUACAUAGCGACAAGUGACUCGAGUCGGUUGGCAAGUGGAACGAGACGGUAUAAUCAUGCGUACUCCACUAUGGCGGCAACCACGCAUUGCACCGCCGCGUGCAUCGACAAGGAACGAAACAAGAAAACUGCAAGAAGAUCAUUCACGUACCAUUGGCCAUAUAAAUGCCGUCCACUAUGGAUUUACCAGCGCCAUGUAUCUGUGCUUUAUGUGGACUAAUCAGCUCUUCUGCAAUAGCCUGCUGCUGCGGUUGACCUCCAACACCGCCAGCAUACUCAGCGCUAUGGGUCAUCAUGCGAUUAGAAUCAAUACGUUCAUCGCGUGUAACAUCUAUCGGCAAGGAAUCAUCGCCUAAGGAUUUCAUUUCAUCAACUGUCAAAUAACGGUAUGGCUGAUCGGAAAGCAUAUUAUCUUCGCCUUUUGGUGGUGGUGGUGGUGGUUUUGUGUUGUGAUUAUUAGCGGUGUUGGCGCGAAUAGUGCAAAAAAAGUUUGGAGAGAAAUAAAUAAAAAAAUAUGCUAAUAAUUUCUUUAAAACCUUAAAGAGCAAACACACAUGCAAAUUUAGGUAUUCAAAUGAGGAUUAUUUGCACGAUGUGUAAAAAUGUUCCCAUCUUUUGUUGAAUAUGCUUGCGAUUGUGUUGAAACUAUGUACAUGUGUAAUAAUCGGUUGAAAUGAAAAACACAAAGUACGUGUAGACAUCGAAUAUGCUUCAAGGGAUAUAUACUAAUCAGUUGAUUUAAAAACGAUAAAUGAACAGGAGAACCAAAACACUUCAAGGUACUCUACAGACAAGAGCAUUAUGAGGCAGGAUUAAUUCCUUAAGAAAGGUCACCGUGUUUAGUUAUUAUUUCCACAUAAACCGUGGUGGUCCAAAUCAUCUCAACAUUGGCGCUUAAU